AUAAGACCACCCAUUCCAACAAGGGCAGCGUAACCAAGACUCAGCUUCUGAGACAUCGACAACGCCAUCUUCUUCUUCUCACCGCCACUACCUCCAACGAUCCUCCCUCUCCUUCGUUCUUUGAAUCACCACCACCACCACUCGUCCUCCGUUAUUACCACCGCCGCCUCCACCACCCCCUCCACUGCUACCUCUUAUAUCCCGGUAACCGUCACCGCCGCCUCCAGAAUCCGGUUCAAUCUCGAUGCCUUCUGUCGACAAAUCAACGUCAUCAGUAACAAGCGUAGACGAUUCGAGACCCGAAUAGACGACACUAGCAGCAACAACAGGCUUCAAAUGCUUAUCAGAGAAAACAACGAAUCGGUAGUUUCCCUUCUCGCUCGAAGAUUGCUGAAGCCGCAGGGACGUCGAUGGAGUAGCGUAAGUUCGAAAUCCAAACUUUGAAGGCUCUAUAAGAAGAAGCGAAGACUGAGAUACUACACCUAUCACCGACUUCGCCAUUUGGUUUCUUGCUUUGCUUCGGCCAUUUUGCCUCUGAUUUUCGUCCUUUGCCCCAACUCGAGUCGGUUCUGGUAGAAAACUC
RNAcentral lists this unclassified non-coding RNA (583 nucleotides) under Hevea brasiliensis (rubber tree). Lineage: Eukaryota; Viridiplantae; Streptophyta; Magnoliopsida; Malpighiales; Euphorbiaceae. The record is from RNAcentral.